Non-coding RNA from Xiphophorus maculatus (southern platyfish), 31 nucleotides. NCBI's taxonomy places the organism in Eukaryota, Metazoa, Chordata, Actinopteri, Cyprinodontiformes, Poeciliidae. The record is from Rfam.
CCAUUAUCGGGAGCAGAGUCUCCCAUAAUGC